This 497-nucleotide ribosomal RNA is filed under the name uncultured bacterium. RNAcentral's name for it is "partial 16S ribosomal RNA". It matches the Rfam family "Bacterial small subunit ribosomal RNA", at positions 28 to 507 of the family's 1533-position model. The record is from RNAcentral.
GAUGAACGCUGGCGGCGUGCCUAAUACAUGCAAGUCGAGCGAACAGACGAGGAGCUUGCUCCUCUGACGUUAGCGGCGGACGGGUGAGUAACACGUAGAUAACCUACCUAUAAGACUGGGAUAACUUCGGGAAACCGGAGCUAAUACCGGAUAAUAUAUUGAACCGCAUGGUUCAAUAGUGAAAGACGGUUUUGCUGUCACUUAUAGAUGGAUCCGCGCCGCAUUAGCUAGUUGGUAAGGUAACGGCUUACCAAGGCGACGAUGCGUAGCCGACCUGAGAGGGGGAGAGACAACACGGGAACGGAACAAGGGACAAAACCCCAGGGGAGGGCAGAGGAAGGAAAUCUCCCGAAAGGGGGAAAGGCCGGACGGAGAAACGCGGGUGGAUGAAGAAAGUUUUUGGUAUCAAAAACCUUUGUUAUAGGGGAAAAAAAAAUGUGAAAGUAACAAGGCAGGUCUGGACGGAACAUAACAAGAAAGCCACGGAAAACAACGUG